Long non-coding RNA from Artibeus jamaicensis (Jamaican fruit-eating bat), 1399 nucleotides. RefSeq lists it as uncharacterized. NCBI's taxonomy places the organism in Eukaryota, Metazoa, Chordata, Mammalia, Chiroptera, Phyllostomidae. The transcript is spliced from 3 exons. The record is from RefSeq and is a predicted model, not a curated record.
AGCAGAGGCUGGAAUAAGCUGGAGAGAAAGUUUAUCUGGGGCCAACAGAGUGGGGAGGGAUGAAGCGACCACUGGAUUGGGAAGGGCCCUUAUCUCCUGUGAGUGGCUGGUGUGUGCCUGUAUGUAUGUAUGUGAGAGUGUGGUUGCCAGAGGCUUGGAGGGGUGAGACAGCCCCAUUGCCUGCCCUCAGGCCCUGCCCUGAGCUGCCCACGGAGCUGCUGAUUCAGAUCAUAGGACAGGCAGGGCCCUCAGAGACAUCUCAGCGCAGGGGUAUCAAAUCAAUGGGCAACAGCCAAGCCUUCCUGUCCCUCCACUCCGAGUGAAUCACUCCUGGCUGCGGCCAAGAAGCAGGUUUCAGAGCCGCUGCGCCUGCAGCCUGGCCGGCCUCUGAGGACAGAGGACUGCUGCUCCUUGGGGCCCGCUCCGCCCCAGGCUGCCUGGUCUCUGUGCUGGGCAAGCUCAGAUAGACAGUUUUGAAGUACAGGUCUGAUCCUCAGCAGAAGGGAAAACGAAUGCGUGGAUUGGCUCAGAAGGCAAAGGAGAAACCGAAGCCCGGAGAAGGGGUCUCGGAGCUCAUCCAGAGCCUUCCAGGAGCCCAGGCUUGCUCUGCAAUGGCCUCACUCGGGAGCAAGUCCUGGCCUUUUUCUGCUUAGCAAGAGACUUGCUCAUUUGACUGGGCUGCCCCAGGGGAAAUAGGCUGUCCACAAAUUGGGGCAACCGGGUGGGCUGGGGAGGCAGGCAGCAGCCGGAACCCAGCCUGUCUUUGCCGGGCGCCCCAGCUGGUCCUGCCAGAUUGUGCUGAGCUGGCCCACGCCUGGGAGGAAGGCGGUGGACUCAGACGCGCCUGGGAGCCGAAGGGCGGGGGGCGGGGCAGGCCAGACGCCUCCGCUCCACCCACUGUCUGCCACAGCAACAUUAUUCCCCGGACAGAUGAGGACACCUCCGUUCCGAGGGGCCAGAUUUGCCCAAGGCCAAGGCUCCCCAUGUCUGACCAAGCCUGUUACCCAGGAGUCCAACUCCCACCUACCCAGGAGCUGUUCCUGGGCCCCUCAGGUAAGGCAGGGCUACCUGAUUCCCUUCCCAGAACUUCCAAACAAUGACAGCUUGGCCGCCUGUUCUCGUCACUGUGUAAAAGAAAGGAAAACAUAGAAAAGCCAAAAGAAAGUGCAAUCACUCCUGCGAUCGGCCCCAGUUCCCAAAUAGCCCCAGUUAACCCUGCCUGCUACUUUCUCUGGAACUGAACCCCUUCCUGUCUGCUCUGCAGGCCUCACCCAGGCCCCCUGCUACCCUGCUGUGGCUGAGACGGUCCCACCCCUGGGGUAGGCAUCUGUGUCCUGCCCUCCUGCGCUGCCCCUCCCCCACUGUGCCUGCCCCAGUGAUGGCUCAGGGGGCCUCAGAC